AGGAUGAACGCUGGCGGCGUGCCUAAUACAUGCAAGUCGAGCGGUAAGGCCUCUUCGGAGGUACACGAGCGGCGGACGGCUGAGUAACACGUAGGAACGUACCCCAAAGUGAGGGAUAAGCACCAGAAAUGGUGUCUAAUACCGCAUGUGCUCUAAGGAGUAAAGCUUCGGCGCUUUGGGAACGGCCUGCGCAUGAUUAGCUUGUUGGUGAGGUAAAAGCUCACCAAGGCGACGAUCAUUAGCUGGUCUGAGAGGAUGAUCAGCCAGACUGGGACUGAGAACGGCCCAGACUCCUACGGGAGGCAGCAGUAGGGAAUUUUCCACAAUGGGC
RNAcentral lists this ribosomal RNA (331 nucleotides) under uncultured bacterium. RNAcentral's name for it is "SSU rRNA". It matches the Rfam family "Bacterial small subunit ribosomal RNA", at positions 26 to 376 of the family's 1533-position model. The record is from RNAcentral.